Long non-coding RNA from Symphalangus syndactylus (siamang), 11636 nucleotides. RefSeq lists it as uncharacterized. The record is from RefSeq and is a predicted model, not a curated record. NCBI's taxonomy places the organism in Eukaryota, Metazoa, Chordata, Mammalia, Primates, Hylobatidae.
UGCACCUGGGCACUGGAUGGGCCACUCCAGCUCCAGCAGUGACAGGUCAUUCUCCCCUGUGUCCGCGUCAUACCGCAUGUGCACAUGGACGUGCGUUAUCUUGAUCAUCAGCGGGUCUUGGCUCGUUCUGUUAAAAUCUGAAAUCAUGAACAAUCGCUAGUUCUUUACAGUCUGAUUUUCAAGGGGACAUAACACUCAGAAACGAGCUUCUCAGGGAGCCACGUGAGGAGGGAGAGACCGGCCCUGGAGGACCCGCAGGCUCACUGCCCCGUGGUGUGGACACUGUGCCUUUCUGUGGACAGAAAGGCCACUCACAGAUUGCAAGAUUGCAACCAAGUGCCACGGCCUUUAAAAACAGUCAAGCUAUACAGAAAGCAAGAAAAGAAUCAAAUACUGGCCAGACAGCAAAUGGACCCAGAAUGAGGUGCUGGGAAUCAGCCUGAGGAGGGAGAAAAAGCUGACUUUACAUGUGCUAAAUAUGGAUGUUUAUGUGUCAAGAGUGACCAUUAAAUAAACAAAGUGAAUGAUGAGGCCGGGCGUGGUGGCUCACGCCUGUAAUCCCAGCACUUUAGGAGGCCAAGGCGGGUGGGUCACUUGAGGUCAGGUGUUCGAGACCAUCCUGUCCAACAUGGCGAAACCCCGGCUCUACUAAAAAUAUAAAAAUCAACUGGGCGUGGUGGCGCAUUCCUGUAAUCCCAGCUACUCAGGAGGCGGAGGCAGAAAAAGCGCUUGUGCCCAGGAGGCAGAGGUUGCAGUGAGCCGGGACUGGACCACUGCACUUCAGGCUGGGUGACAGAUUGAGACUCCAUCUUAAAAAGAAAAACCAAAAACAAAUGAAUGGUUAACUUCUAAACCAGCCAAGGAGGGGAAAAGGAGAACAAAAAUGAAUGCCAAACUAGAGAAAUUUAGUGAACAAAAUAACAAAGCUAGAAUGCCAGGCCAGCAGCCGAGAGCAGAGCCAGUGCCUGAGCUGGUGCUCAAGCUGUUGCUCAGCCACUCUGUGGCUACACCCAGGUCCCCAGGUUGGGGCAGCCCAUCACUGAAGUGCUUCCCAGGCAUGCUGUGAUUUCGAGAUGCUUACGUUCUGAGAAAAUGACGUUGGCAACAGUUUGGAACUGCAGAGGAAAGGUGUUGGGGGCCGUAAAUAAUGCUAUCCUUUUGUAUUAGUUACGAACUCAGCAUUAGAACAUGGUUGGAAGUGUGAAUAGAGGGUAGUCAAUGCAGUCAACAGCCCAUCAAAGUCAGGAUGCCUGAUUCACUCAGUUGUUAACAUUUCUAUUUAGGAAAUGACAAGUAAGGUGAAAGUCGUAACAAUAAAUUGAAGCACGCGGAGAGCGCUCUGUUACCUGCCACGGGAGGUCCUGUAGGUCUGGUGCACACUUCUCGGAGGUCAGCACCCCGCAGGCACACUGGUCUGCAUUUGAGGCAGCAACAUAAGAAUAAGAAUCAGCGCCUUCCCAGCGAAUAUCAGACUCUGUCUAGGGUGUUAACCAUUGCAUAAUUCCGUCUAUGGUACUAACCAUUAUAAUCUUAUCCUUAAUGCUGAUGAAUGCGCAAUAAUUCACACAGACACGUAGACUGGAGUUAAACCACCCCCUCACGGCACUCAUGGUUUAGCUCAGAGUGGUCUGAGCAAGCACUAGUGACAGAAAUUGCACUUUCUAGCAUUGCCAUUGCUCCAGCAUGGAGACGCGGACCACCUUCUGAGUCAUGGCAACUCCUUAUCACAAAUCCGCGGGCUUCACCUAGUACUACAGAAGAAGGAAGGAGGAUGUGGACCGGGUCGCUGGCAUUGGAAGCCGGAGGCCGCUGUGGUCUGAGCACUCACCGUGGGGAACGCACUGUUUGUGGUCCUCACCAAGCCUGUAGCCCUGAGCACAGCUGCACGUGUAGGAUUCCUGUCCCGGGAGGCAGAAGUGUUGACACCCAUCAAUCCGCUCUGGGUGACAUUCAUUUUUAGCUGAAAAGGAAAAAAACCAGAAAUGCUAGCUUGGAAAUAGUCAUUUUAUCACAGCCUUGCACGCAGUUCUGGUGUUUUGGUCCAUGUUCAUUUUAUCACAGCCUUGCACACAGAGUUCUGGUGUGUUGGUCCAUGUUCAUUUUAUCACAGCCUUGCACACAGAGUUCUGGUGUGUUGGUCCAUGUGUUCUUAUUCUCUUCAGAUCGUUGUCCUUUGUGUCAGUGUUUCCCACAUGUCCGUAUUUCAGGAGUGUGCAUGUAGAACAAAGACUCCAUGAGUGAGGCCAGGCGCGGUGGCUCACACCUGUAAUCCCAGCACUUUGGGAGGCUUUGAGACUUUGAGCAGCUGGAAUGGGGGCUCUCCACCAAGAGGGAGAAGAUUAAGAAAGGGGCACAUAGUGGGUGAAGGUCAAAGCCCCCUUUGGUUGUGGUAAAUUUGGGGUGUCUGUGAAGGCACUAGCUGGGGCAUCAAGGAGGCAGAUGGAGCAGAAAUCUGGACUUCGGAGGAGAGGGCUGGGCUGGAAGGAAGGUUUUCCCCAGAGAAACGGGCUCCGAGUUGACCAGUGGUGCUGAGAACAGAGCACGCUUGUUGCUAUAGUUGGCGAUGAUGGACACUGACAUUUGGCGGGUAUUUAAGGAUAUUUGUUUAUAUGCUUUGCGUCUUCCCUGUCUGCAGUCUACCACUGGGGGUCUGGCACUGAGGAUGCCUGUGUGUGACCCCCAGCCUGUGAGCAGAUUGUGAAUGGUUGAGGCAGGGGUGGGGAGGAGAGGGGCCCAUGCCAUGAAAAGUAUGGGGGCCUGUCUGGAAGGGGCAGCUCAGAAUGCAGCCAGCCCCCUGGGCGUGGUUUCUGGAGGAGAAUCUGUUUGGGAUGAGAGGAAUCCCCUGGGGUGAGCCAAAUCGCGGUUCACACAGGCACCUUCGUGUCUACACUUCAGGAGAGGCCCAUUGGGACCCUGGCCGAGGAUGUGAGGCCCACCUGCCCAGGGAGGCCCUUGGGGGAAGGGGACGGCCAGGGCCUCACCCAGCUCGCAGUUGCUGCCCUCAUAGCCAGGGGAGCAGGUGCAGGUGUAGCCCCAGAUGCUGUCCUGGCAAGAUCCAUUGUGGAGGCAGGGCUGGGAGAUGCACGGGGAGCCGCCUGCAGGAGGAGGAUGGGGGUUGGCGUGGUGGUGACAGGAACGGGGACCUGAGCAGGAGGAGGACGGAGUGGGGGGUGGCAGCAGGGACGGGGACCUGAGCAGGAGGAGGGUGGGGUGACAGGAACAGGGACCUGAGCAGGAGGAGGACAGAGGGGAGCAGGGAUGGGGACCUGAGCAGGAGGAGGACGGGAGAACAGGGGCUGGCAGGGACGGGGACUGAGCCCUCUCAUGCUGCUCCCCAUGCCGUCGCCUGGCCCCCAGGACGCUCCCCUCUCAGGACAUAGGGCCUGGCUGCCAGUGCCUCCCGCUCUGCUGGGAGCUCUUUCUUCGUCCGCAUGCGGCCCCCCCUGUCCUGCCCCAUCAGCCCUUCUCUGGCCUCCCCGGCCUCUCCCGCUUCCUUCUGAGCCCAGUUGUCCCCGUGCUUGUCUGGUGUGGUGGCUGCAGCUCUUUGCUUACUCAUUCCCAGGUGGGUCCUUACCCUGGCCUCCCCCAGCCCCAUGGGUCUCCAUCUAUGUCACUUCUGUCCCAUGCUCUUCUGCAGUUGCUCACCUGGAGCUCCUCCCUCGGGAGGAGUCCCCUAACCAAAGUCUCCAUCGGGGCCAUGACUUUCCAAAAUUUGAGACGAGUUCUGAUCCUGCUGCAGCAUGAGGCUUCCCAGGAGCCCAGGAGCCAGGCGGCUGGAGGAGCUGCUCUGGGGGGGCCCUCCUGGCCUGUGGCCCAUGUCCCAGAGUGCCCAGAAACUACCCAGACGCUGGGUAAGACAAACCAGGCGCUGCCCGUGGCCCUGGUGGCAGAGCCCAGGGGCUUCCUGACCUGGUCCUUGGGGAGAGUACAUCGUGGGUCCCAGAGCCAAAGGCUUGGCAUCCGCUGACCUGGGGUCAUGAAGCGUCCUAAGCCCACCCCCUCACCUCAUCCCGAGGAGUUAAUACUUCUGAGGAGAUGAAGGAAACCACUUACCCUUAUAUCGUCUCCAGAAUUCAUCCUUUAGAGUUAAAACAUAAAAAAUGUUACAAAUGGGAUAUUUGUUUUUCUAUAUUCUUUCCUGUAGAUGAACUUGAAGGUAAGAAAAUGUUGAUUUUAUUCACCUAAUAGGACAAUAGUGGUUGAAACAAUGCACAAUUUUCCUGUUUUACAGCCUAUUUGUUUAUGUUAAAUGUAUAGUAACUAAAUGUAUGUGUAAGAUAUAUUACUCAACAUGUGCCUACCACCACCUAUUUGAGGAAGGCCAGAGUCUAUGACGUGGCACAAACCCACCACACACAGCCCCUAACGUGGCCCUUCCCUCCUAGGGCCAAUCUCCACGCCACCCUCCACAAAAGCACAUGAUAUAGAAGUCACAUCACCUUUUCACUUUUUAUAAACCGAGUUGAAUUUUAAAGAUAUAUACCUGUGUAGGGAGUGGGGACGCUUAGUUUGGGGUAGGAGUAUCUAAAAUUAGGAGAAUUAUUCAGACUUGAAGCCUAGAAAGAAAAUGUAUAAAAAAUGGUAUCUCCCAAGAUCAUAUUUGGACUUGUAACAACUUGAAUCAUGUCAUAAGUAGUAAAUGAAAAACAAUUUACCAGGAAAUCUGAAAAAUGAAAUUUAGGGCAAAAUACUUUGAAAAAUUUUUACACUUUUCACAUGCCUUCAGGAUUUCUCUGAGUUGUAUUAAAAAUGGUCUAUUUCAUAAGAGUUCUCUUAUAGAUAGGUAUUUACGAAACUAGAAUUUUAAAAACAUUAAUUAUACUAGAGAAACAGGUCAACAUUUAAUUAAGAAUCAGCUUUAGGCUGGGAACAGUGGCUCACGCCUGUAAUCCCAGCACUUUGGGAGGCCGAGGUGGGUGGAUCACAAGGUCAAGAGAUCGAGACCAUCCUGGCCAACAUGGUGAAACCCCGUCUCUACUCAAAACAAAAAAAUUAGCUGGGCUUGGUGGCAGGUGCCUGUAGUCCCAGCUACUUGGGAGGCUGAGGCAGGAGAAUCACUUGAACCCAGGAGGCGGAGCUUGCAGUGAGCUGAGAUCACACCACUGCACUCCAGCCUGGGCAACAGAGUGAGACUCUGUCUCAAAAAAAUACAAAAUAAAUAAAUAAAAUAGCAAAUUCUUACUUGUGUUAUUUAGAGCAUACAUGCAGUCACAUGUGAAGAAAAUCAUUUAUGUAAUCCCAAGCAUGGAUUAUGAUUUUCUUACUGUGUGGCAUCCCAGAGAGGAUGUUUCUGUUUUCAGGUUUUUUUAAGGUAUUGAAACCACUAAGUCUCCAUUAAAAGCACGAAAUUCUCUGAAAGCCACCACAAGCUGGGCGGCGUGUAUGUUGGGUGUCUGAUCAGUGUGUGGGCCUUGCCUGACCUGAAGAAAAGAGUCCAGUGGGCUCUGAGCUGACUUCCGGCCCCACUCACUGCUGUAGGGAAGGGUGGAUUAAGUCGCUUCUCUAAAUUGUUUCCUCAUCUGUAAAACUGGGAUUGUGUCAACCUCAUCGGUAAGUAAAUAGGCUAAUUAAUCAAGCUUAAUCUCUGAGAAAUGAUGCUCCCUGGGCCAGCAGAAGUCUAAAUAAUGAGGCGGCCUGUGGUUUGUGGUGGGGGUACAUACAGUGACUACUUCAUUUUCAAACACUUCUCUUGCUUCUUCAUAGACACAGAUUUCUUCAUAACAUUCUUUUUCCAAGUUUCCCUCGAAGAGUUCUUCCAGAAGAUAGGAGCCCGCACGCUUCCACCUCACCAGAACGUCGUUUGCCUUGGUGGCCGGGAGAAAUACUACAGACGAGACAAGAAGGCAGAUGACUGGGAGCACCGAGGGCCCUGCUUGCCUGGCUUCCGCCCUGGCCGGCCGCCAGCCCCAGCCCCAGCCCCCUCCGUCUCCACAGGCUCUCAGCCUGCGAGGGCCUCAGGGCCACCCCGCUACUCCCUGCCCCGAGGUAGGCAAGCACUUCAUUCUCUGGGUGAAUGGACCAGCCCCGGGAUCAGUGCAGAUACACUAAGGUUCUGCAGAGAGGCCACGGGCCUCAGGAAAGUGGAGGAGGGAGGGCUCCAACUGGGUUUUGGGUCCAAGUGCGAAGGAAGGCCGAGCUGGGGUCAAAGGUCACCGUGCUGAGAAUUGGGGACCAAGAGCCGUCAGCUCCUAUGCUGCCUCUGUGCACAGCAUUUAACAUCUUGAUAAAACACAAAAAGAAGAAACUUAUACGUUGCAGCAAGCUCUGCGAUUUCCAGGAGGAGAAGGCAAACCAGUCGGCCCCCGGCAGUGGUCUCUGGAGCCUCUUCCCACCUGAGGGUCCCAAAGCAUGUUCUGUCCCUCUCCUGGAGGGUCAAAGCCCAGGCCCUUCCCAUCCUCCCUCCUUUUCUCUUGGUGCUGAGGGUUACAGCAGAGGCGGCUCAGUUAAGUCCGGCUACAGCAAGUGCUGGGCAGGUGGGCAGGGAGUCACCCACUCAGGGCGGGAGACCAUGGGGCCAGUGGGAGACCAUGGGGCCAGCGGGGACACUGGGUGUUUUGACUUGCAGCUUUCCUGGAUGCCUGUGCAGGCAGAGUCAGAAUGGAGUCCAUGUCUGUUCCUUCAGUGAAGUGGCUGAUGGUAGAAGGGUGGCGGGCAGGCAGGGUGGCUGCUCCCUGGCUAUGUCUCCUGACCCAAAACUGGGCAUUCCUGGCCAGCCUGGCCAAGGCUCUCUCUGCCCACAUUGCAGUCUGGGCUCAGCCUGCCCCACCCCCUUCCCCCAUCCAAUGCCCAACCCAGGCCUCCCCCCACUCCUCCCCCCUCCCCCUCUCCCCCCCCCUCUCCCCAGCCUUUCUUCGCUGAAUCCCCUGCACACAUGCUUCUUUCCAUUUGGGCAUCUCUUGGGAGGACCUCAGGUGACACCAUCAUUGGUCCCAAAUACUUGUCACCAAAUGAUAAAGAUGCAAACAGCUUUUUCAGGGGAAUUAAGACUAGUCUGGGCACUCAGGGCUCCUCCGGCUCCGGGAAAAAGCGUCAUCUACAAAUCCACUGUGGACUGAGUCAAGAAAGACACAGCCCAGGCACAACAGACAGGUAAGCCAGAUGCCUACCUGAGGGCUCCGCACGAUGGAGGGCGAGGACCAGGACCAGGCCCUGGAGCAGCAGGAAGCAGUCGGCCAUUCCUACCCCGAGCGCUGGGACAGGGCUACAAACACAGCCAAAGUCCAGGCUGGGGGAGGUGCUGGCAGCAGGAGCCCCGGGGCAUGACCUGCGCAGCUGUGUGCUUCCCUCCUAACGUUUUCUGUUUGAGGCCAGGCAGAGAAAUGAACGGUGAAAGCUCAGAGGACCCUGGGAGAUAUUUAGGGAGACAGAGAAUGGAAGGUAAAGGCAGCAGGUGCAAGGUGGAAGGUGGCACCCGUGCCCGUGUGUGGUCAAUGGAGAUGAGACAGGCCCUGGGGACAUAGCAGUGGGUGAGACAGACAAAGUCACAUGCAGCUUAUGUUCUAGGUGUGUGUGGAAUACACAGAAAAGAAUGAGGGAAAGAGAAAGGAGGGAGUGAGGGAGGGAAGGCAGGAGGAUGGAAGGAAGGAAGGGGAGAAAAGGGAGGGAGGAGGGAGAAAGGGGGGAAGGGCCAAAUAGUGUCUGUCACUACAACACAGCACCAUUGUAGCAGAGGCAGCAUAGACAAUCAUGAAUGAACACUUGGCCGUGUGCCAAUAAAGCUUUAUUUAUAAGAGCUAUUAAGGGGCCAGAUUUGGCCCCAGGGUUGUAGUUUGCUGCUUUCAGAUGUAGGCCCUUUGUAUUAGUCCCUUCUCACACUGUUAUGAAGAAAUAGCCAAGACUGGGUAAUUUAAGAAAAGAGGUUUAGUUGACUCCCAGUUCCACAUGGCUGGGGAGGCCUCAGGAAACUUACAAUUAUGGCAGAAGGCACCUCUUCACAGGGUGGCAGCAGAAUGAGUGCAAGCAGGGGAAAUGCCAGAUGCUUACAAAACCAUCAGAUCUCUUGAGACUCACUCACUAUCCCAAGAACAGCAUGGCAGAAACCACCCCCAUGAUUCAAUCACCUCCCACUGGGUCCCUCCCACGACACGUGGGGAUUAUGGGGAUUACAAUUCAAGGUGAGAUUUCGGUGGGGACACAGCCAAACCAUAUCAGCCCUUGAAGCCUGAGGUAAGAACCUGGUGUUUCAUUUCCACUGUGUUGGGAAGAUAUUGGAGGGAACAGGAAUUGACAUGGAAAGAUUUGUGCUCUGAAGGGAUCACUGUGGCAGCUGUGUGGAGAACAGAACAUUCCAGAGAAGUCAAAAAGGGAGGCUGCUGGCUAGUCCAGGAGGGGGCGAGGGUGCAGCCAUGCAGCAGGAAGCACGUUUGCAGUCUGGAUACUUCAUGAAGGGAAAGCUGAUGGGAUUCGUGAUGAAUUGGGUCGGGCAGCAUGGCUUCAAGGUUUGGGCUGAGCGAUUGGGAGGAUGGCAGUGCGUGUGCUGAGACGGCCAAGCUCCCAGAGGGCAGAGGGAAGCGAGGUUUGGCAAAUUUCAAGUGUCUGUGGGAAGUCCAGGUGGAGACAGGAGUGGGCAUCAGAGAAGCUGGGACUCACAGUGGAGAUUCAGGUGGUAACAGAUGAAAUGACAGCAUUGUCGGCAUAUAGAUUUUGUUCGAUUGUAUGAUACUCAAAGGUGGCAAAACUCAAUGAAAGGAUUCUAAAUACAAUUUUGUUAAAGUGGGAACAGAAGAAAACUAAGAAGCUGACACCUUUGAUUAAAAGGGCAUGUCCACGAAUACACUGAAGUUGUGAAGUUUGCUUUAAAAAGCUGGGAAAAGAAAACAAAGUUUAUCUUUAGUGAGUGAGCUAAAAUAAUUUGAAAGCCAGAAGUUGAUUGUAUAGGAUAGAUCUUGGGUGAAUUGCACCAGGCUGGUAAUCCACGCGGCCUUCUCUUAAGAAAAGGUGCCUUUUUUUGUGUGAAAAUAUAUUCCCACAUGGAAACUUACAUACUUUAAAAAUACUUCUGCUGGAUAAUUUAAUAACCAUCAAUAGCUGCUUAAAAAUGGAAAAGCAGACAGGGACGUACACAUUUGAUCAAUAAGUGUUAAUUGAGCACAUCCUGUAUGCCUGGCAUGGGUAUCUGAGCUACAGGCUCUUCCCUCGUGGACCAUUUUAGUCUGUUGGGGCUGCUGUAACAAAACACUUAGAGUGGGUAAUUUAUGAUAAACAGAAACGUAGUGCUCACAUUUCUGGAGGGUGGGAAGUCCACGAUCAAGGUGCCUGUAGACUCAGUGUCUGGUGACGGCCCAUGAUUCAUAGACGUGUCCUUGGAUGGUGGAAGGGAGGAAUGUGGGUGCCCCCUGGAGCCUCUUUUGGGAGGGCAGUCAUCCAUCCAUGUAGGCAGACUGCCUCCCAGAGGCCCCACCUCCUAGUACUAUUGCACAGGGGGUUAGGUAUCAAUGUGAGUUUUGGGAGAUGAUAUUGUUUGGCUCUGUGUCCCCAACCAAUCUCACCUUGAAUUGUAAUAAUCCCCACAGGUCAAGGGCAGGACUGGGUGGAGGUGAUUGAAUCAUGGCGGUGGUUUCCCCCAUUCUGUUCUCGUGAUAGUGAGUGCAAUCUCACAAGAGCUGAUGGUUUUGUAAGGGGCUUCCUCCUGCGAUUGACACUCAUUCUGUCUCCUACCACCCUGUGAAGAGGUGCCUUCCGCCAUGAUUGUGUUUCCUGAGGCCUCCCCAGCCAUGUGGAACUGUGAGUUGAUGAAACCGCUUUUCUUUAUAAAUUACCCAGUCCCAAGUAUUUCUUCAUAGUGACAUGAGAGCAGACUAAUACGGGAAGGCAUCAACAUCGAGGCCACAGCUGUGACUGACUGUGUUGUAUGUGGACUGACCGUGUUGUAUGUGGUGAUUUAAUUUUCUCAUCUGUCUUCUCAAAGAUACCACCUUUGGACCAAAAAUUCUACAAUAAUAAAUUGUCCAAACAUUAAGAUUCACCUCGUUCUACUCAUCUUCCUCAUCUCUCGUAUGAAUAAUCAUUCCUCUGUCACCCUCUUCUGUUCUGAAAAACAAACCAACCAACAUUGGGGCACUUUUUCCAUUGACUGGUUUACUUUCCUUCUGUAUACCUGAGGGGAAUCUUCCUUCCUUUGGGGUCUUUGUCAUGUCCUUCAGACGUUGGGGUGUCCUCUGUGGGGGUCCCCAGCUUAAAUCAACUGACCCCACAACUUUGUGUGGAACCUGAAAUGAGCAGCCUAUGGAGAACCUGGUCAUUGAAUACUUAGAUCUUGCUGCAGUCCCUAUUUAAACACCUGUUCAAUCAACUCGGGGACCUAUAUUUUAGAUUUCAACAUCUCUGAAUUGGCCUGUUCCCUACAGCAGUUGUGUUCUAAUGUCAGCCUGGACAAGGCCGAGUUCUUCCUGAAAGGGUUUGUGCUUUAUGUUGCCCCCUGGGGGCACUGCCACUUUGGAAUCCCUUUAAAUACGUUUUUUUUUGUGUGAGUUUUGGGAGCCCAUGUGAAUAGUGUAAACAUAUUGCAAAGCUGGUUUCUGGCUGGCCUGUGGUUUAGAUUAUCUGAGCUUCCCCCUCUUGCCUCCAGGCUGAGCUGACCCACAGCUAAUUUAGGUAUAUGCUCUUUCUUUGAGGUCCAUCAAUAAUGGUGCUUCUUAGAUUCAGUGUGGCCUAGUCCACUUUGUGGUGCUGUAACAGAAUAUCUGAGACUGGGUAAUUUAUAAAGAACAGAAAUUUAUUUCUUACAGUUCUGGAGGCUGGGACAUCAAAGGUCCAGGGGCCCCCAUCUGGUGAGGGCCUUCUUGCUGUGUCAUCCCAUGGUGGAAGGUGGAAGGGUGUGAGAGAGAGAGAGAAAGGGGAGAGAGGAAGGGGGCCAAACUCAUCCUUUUAUUCCAAAAUAACGAACCUACUCCUACAAUAGUGGUAUCAAUUCAUUCACGAGGGCUCUGAUGAAGAAUGUGUCUUCAAGGUCCCACCUCUCAACAUUGUUGCAUUGGGAUUAAGUUUCCAACACAUGCACUAUAGGGACACAUUCAAACCACAGCAUGGUGCAUCCUCUGAUGUCCACAUUAUAGAUGGAGGUGGCAGCUUAUCACCUGGAGCUCCUGAAGAAAUUAAAGAAGAGACACAUGGUGACGCAGCCCAUGGCCUGGCGUUUUCAGCAUCUCAGAAGCACUGACAGGGACCUGCAAGCUUAUGAGGAAUUGUUCAACUCAAUGGGCUUCCUCAGAGCUUGGGAGACCAUUAAUGUGGAAGACACUAUCUGGACAUGUUUCUCUUUUUUCCAUCUCUCUAGAUUUUAUUUCAGGAUCGGGGAGACUUCUGGAGUAGAAAAGCCACUCAAGAACCUUCCUCCUCCUCCCCCACACCCCGCCUCCCCCACGCCCCACCUCCCCCACGCCCCACCUCCCCCACGCCCCACCUCCCCCACGCCCCACCUCCCCCACGCCCCCCCUCAUAAGCAGCUGCCCUCCGAGCGGCAUGGAGUCCCCACGUCCCGGCUCCACGGUGCAGGAGUCCUCCAUGGUGGUUGAAUUCGCCUUUCAGGCCCUAUGUUCAGGAUUUGUGAUCUGGGUUUUAAAAACAUUUUUUAGAAGUCAUUGGUAAUUAAAAACUAAGUUUUUUAUUGUGGUAAAAUAUACAUAACAUAAAAUUUA